This 253-nucleotide ribosomal RNA is filed under the name uncultured bacterium. RNAcentral's name for it is "partial 16S ribosomal RNA". It matches the Rfam family "Bacterial small subunit ribosomal RNA", at positions 524 to 776 of the family's 1533-position model. The record is from RNAcentral.
UACGAAGGGGGCUAGCGUUGUUCGGAAUUACUGGGCGUAAAGCGCACGUAGGCGGACAUUUAAGUCAGGGGUGAAAUCCCAGAGCUCAACUCUGGAACUGCCUUUGAUACUGGGUGUCUUGAGUAUGGAAGAGGUGAGUGGAAUUCCGAGUGUAGAGGUGAAAUUCGUAGAUAUUCGGAGGAACACCAGUGGCGAAGGCGGCUCACUGGUCCAUUACUGACGCUGAGGUGCGAAAGCGUGGGGAGCAAACGGG